Molecule: ribosomal RNA, 253 nt
Filed under: uncultured bacterium
Lineage: Bacteria
Description: partial 16S ribosomal RNA
Rfam family: Bacterial small subunit ribosomal RNA
Source: RNAcentral
UACGUAGGGCGCAAGCGUUGUCCGGAAUUAUUGGGCGUAAAGAGCUCGUAGGCGGCUUGUCGCGUCGGCUGUGAAAACUCGGGGCUCAACCCCGAGCCUGCAGUCGAUACGGGCAGGCUAGAGUCCGGCAGGGGAGACUGGAAUUCCUGGUGUAGCGGUGAAAUGCGUAGAUAUUGGGAGGAACACCGGUGGCGAAGGCGGCCCCCUGGACCGGUACUGACGCUGAGGCGCGAAAGCGUGGGUAGCAAACGGG